This 249-nucleotide ribosomal RNA is filed under the name uncultured bacterium. Its description in RNAcentral is "partial 16S ribosomal RNA". It matches the Rfam family "Bacterial small subunit ribosomal RNA", at positions 15 to 263 of the family's 1533-position model. The record is from RNAcentral.
GAUCCUGGCUCAGGACGAACGCUGGCGGCGUGCUUAACACAUGCAAGUCGAACGCUGAAGCCUAGCUUGCUGGGUGGAUGAGUGGCGAACGGGUGAGUAACACGUGAGUAACCUGCCCUCUUCUUUGGGAUAACGCCCGGAAACGGGUGCUAAUACUGGAUAUUCACUGGCCUUCGCAUGGGGGUUGGUGGAAAGGUUUUUUCUGGUGGGGAUGGGCUCGCGGCCUAUCAGCUUGUUGGUGGGUGAUGG